This is a non-coding RNA of Ceratotherium simum simum (southern white rhinoceros), 681 nucleotides long. The record is from RefSeq and is a predicted model, not a curated record. NCBI's taxonomy places the organism in Eukaryota, Metazoa, Chordata, Mammalia, Perissodactyla, Rhinocerotidae.
AUAUUUAUUGAGCACCUCCUAUGUGUCAGGCACUAUUAUUGGGGCUUGGGAUACAUUCACGAGCAAAGCAGGGAUCCCUGCCCUUGGUGGAUCUUACAUGCCAGGGCUCCCCAGAGGGCCACGCAAGCAAAGAUGGGCUCACGCUGUGGCAGGAGGCUGGAUGUUCAGAAACUCAGGGAGGCUGUGGGCCCUGACAGGUCUCUGAGGUUGGCUCUGGGAUCUCCUCACACUAGGCGAAGGCGAGUGAAAGAAGGUGACCGAGCCAGGAGGAAAGAGCACAGAUGGCUUGGUGGUGGUAUGGUGUGGACCUCCUACCCGUUCCCUCUUAGGCAUGGGAGUGGAGUGACAGAUGGAGAAAGGCAUGAGGACACAAAGGAGGGAGUGCGCCAUUGCCAAGACCCCAAGGAAGAAGGAUGGAGAGUGCUGGCAGUCCUGCCUGGCCUCCAGCCAGUUUCCUGCUGAAGAUGGCCAAGUCCUCUUGCCUGUUCUGAUUUCAGCAUCUCUGGAAGUGGAUGGCAGCUUCAGAAGAGUGAGGGUGGUUUCCACAGCAGAGGAGAAAGCAGGGAGGCACUCAGCCAAAGGAGACUGAAACAAAGGAAGGCCACAGGAGGAGACUGGAGAUGGGAAGAAUCAAGAAGGAAAAAGAAGGGCAUGUCAUUAGAGGGAGAUGCUCUCUCAAGU